This is a long non-coding RNA of Rhododendron vialii, 891 nucleotides long. RefSeq lists it as uncharacterized. The record is from RefSeq and is a predicted model, not a curated record. Lineage: Eukaryota; Viridiplantae; Streptophyta; Magnoliopsida; Ericales; Ericaceae. The transcript is spliced from 4 exons.
GUUCUUUUCUUUUCGUUUCUUUUCUUUACUUUUUUUCCUUGUGCUCUGUGAUUAUGCAUUUUUUCGAUCGUCCUCCUCUCCUUUCCUUCGUCUGGUUCAGAGAGAGAGAGAGAGUAGCUACUGUUAUCAAUGAUGAGAUUAAUGUUGCUAUUAGUGAUUCCUUCGGCGGCAACAAAUAGAUCGGAUGCCGGACGGAAAAGAGGAGGAUCGACAACAAGGAGUUCAUCGGACGCUGGACAGAAUAGAGGGAGAUCGAUGGCGGUGCUGAGAAUGAGGUUGAGGAACAGAUAUGAGGUUGAGAGGAAACAUAUAUGAGGAUGAGAGGAACCCUAGGAACCAUAUCCAAAUUCUACGCCGAAUGGAAAAGAGUUUUGGGGGCUCCUUUCGUUCCUCUGCUCUGCUGCUUGCCGUCGAGAGAUUUGUGAGGUUCUUGGGUGUUGUGCACUGGGGCUACAGGGAGAGGACGAACUUGAUGAGAGGGAAACAAAGUUAGGAGAGCAGUGGUGACAAUGAUGAGCAGCCGAAGCAAAAGUGGCAUGCUUUAGAAAAAUUUGGGGCUGUUCUACCAUCUAUUCCAUUGCCGAUCUUUGGAGCUCUGUACUGCAUCUUGUUUGCUUACAUGACUUCUGCUAGUCUUGGUUUACUUCAAUUCUGCAACCUCAACAAGCUCAGAACAAAGUUCAUAGUAGGUUAUUCAAUCUUCAUGAGCCUGUUUGUCACACAAUACUUCUAUGUCUACAUAGUAACUUCCGGACGUGGUCCUGUUUACACUCACGCACAUUGGGUAUGUUGUGCAUACAAUUUAUCCUUUCUAACUCAAAUGAAUUUUUGUAGUCGCAAAUAUUUUUGUGCUUGAAGAAGCUAAAUGAAAUUUCUAGCCAUUACUUGCAA